This 551-nucleotide ribosomal RNA is filed under the name Helvella robusta. Its description in RNAcentral is "eukaryotic LSU rRNA". It matches the Rfam family "Eukaryotic large subunit ribosomal RNA", at positions 103 to 665 of the family's 3401-position model. The record is from RNAcentral. Lineage: Eukaryota; Fungi; Ascomycota; Pezizomycetes; Pezizales; Helvellaceae.
AGGAGCUCAAAUUUGAAAUCUGGGGUCCCCGACCUCCGAGUUGUAAUUUGGAGAGGCAUCCUCCGGGGGGAGCGCUGGCCCAUGUUCCUUGGAACAGGACGUCGCAGAGGGUGAGAAUCCCGUGCCAGGCCGGCUGCCUCCUCCCACGUGAAGGGCCUUCGACGAGUCGAGUUGUUUGGGAAUGCAGCUCCAAGUGGGUGGUAAAUUUCAUCUAAAGCUAAAUACCGGCGGGAGACCGAUAGCGCACAAGUAGAGUGAUCGAAAGAUGAAAAGCACUUUGAAAAUAGAGUCAAAAAGUACGUGAAAUUGUUGAAAGGGAAGCGCUUGAGACCAGACUCAGACCCGAGCAAACAUCGCGCCCCUCGGGGCCGUGCAAUUGCCUGGGGCUGGGCCAGCAUCAGUUGGCGUGGCGGGACAAAGGCGCGGGGAAUGUGGCUCCCCUCGGGGAGUGUUAUUAGGCCCGCGCUCAAUGCCGCCGCCGCCGACUGAGGACCGCGCCUCGGCUAGGAUGCUGGCUUAAUGGCCUUCAGCGACCCGUCUUGAAACACGGA